CCUUAUCUUGGUUGAAAGAGACCUUUUUUUUUUUGUUUUUUUUACAGUUCGUGACACAUUAAGGCAGGCAGUGUUGAAGACACCUAAAAGGCCGUGGGUAGGACCUAUAUAAAGGCUUGCGUUAGCCACUGGUCUUUCUUUUCGUCGGACUCAGCAGAGACUUCUACUUAUAGUAGAGGAUAGGAAUCAUCUGAUUUCCCAUUUCAAGUUUUCUGAAUAAUUGUUUUAAGUAAAUUCGUUCGUGUUUUAAGGUUUAUUUUGAGCUAUCGGUGCUUAUUGAACACGAUGGAGCUCUUUCACUUGUCUAGCUGUUUGCUAAUGCUAGUAAACACGUGGCUUGGAGGAAAGGGUUGGGGUUAGGAUUUAAUGUGAUUCCAAAGAAUGGAUUGCCAAUAUACCUAGAAAAUGGUAAAGGUGAAGAUACGAUGAUGCCCUAGGAGCUCAGCUGAUCGAGUACAGAUCCCAUUGGAUGCAACGAGUAGAUGGGAGGAGUUGUAACUGCAGCCCAUGGUGUUCUCAUGGACUAUAUAGAGGCUGUUCUGGAUUUUCCAGACCAAAGUAAAUUUUUUGGGCUUCGUAUCUAUUGGAUGGAAUAGGCCAAAGAAAUGCCAACAAGCACAUCUCCAACAUGACCCAGGACGGGUGCUGAGCUCAUCAAGCAUUGUUGCUUAUAGGAGAUCUGCUUCACUGAAAGAUGAUUUUUCAACAGAUAUGUGGAUGUAAAUAAAUAAAACGUUUAUUCUGUCU
RNAcentral lists this long non-coding RNA (747 nucleotides) under Gouania willdenowi (blunt-snouted clingfish). RNAcentral's name for it is "lncRNA (ENSGWIG00000009031.1)". Lineage: Eukaryota; Metazoa; Chordata; Actinopteri; Blenniiformes; Gobiesocidae. The record is from RNAcentral.